CAGAAUGGUGGAAACCUGGAAUUGAUCCAGAUUGGCCUGAAAAGGAUGGUGUGAAUGGUCUCCCGGUUGAAUCCGGAA
RNAcentral lists this small nucleolar RNA (78 nucleotides) under Dichanthelium oligosanthes. Lineage: Eukaryota; Viridiplantae; Streptophyta; Magnoliopsida; Poales; Poaceae. The record is from RNAcentral.